GCAAGUCGAACGAUCCCUUCGGGGAGAGUGGCGAAAGGGCGAGGAAUACGAUCGAAUGUACCCCGAGGUGGGGGAUAGCCUGUGGAAACGCAGGGUAAUACCCCAUGAUCUCUACGGAGCAAAGGCUUGCCGCCUUGGGAGCAGCGAUCGUCCUAUCAGGUAGUUGGUGAGGUAAAGGCUCACCAAGCCGAAGACGGGUAGCGGGUGUGAGAGCAUGACC
RNAcentral lists this ribosomal RNA (220 nucleotides) under uncultured bacterium. RNAcentral's name for it is "partial 16S ribosomal RNA". It matches the Rfam family "Bacterial small subunit ribosomal RNA", at positions 57 to 305 of the family's 1533-position model. The record is from RNAcentral.